CAGGCCUUGGUUUACUUACUCCUGUUUGGACUCUCAUUCGUGAGGAGACUGGUGAGAAGGGCCAUGAUGGAGGAGACCCUGGGAUGAAACUGAUAGUAAUCAGGUAGACUCAAAAACUGGUAUACUUCUUUUUUGAAGAUGGAGAGGCACAAUUCUGGAGGGGCGGGAGCUUUCAAAUCAGGAGUCAGACAGUGCCUUUCCCUAAACUGUAGCCAAGAUUGCCACAACAUUUGACCUUUUCCAGUCUUCUGGAAUCUCUCCUGUCUUCCGUGACUUUUUGAAGAUAAUCACUAAUGACUCAGAUAUCUUCUCAGAUAGCUCCUUGAAUAUUCGGGGAUGUAUUUUCGCCCAAGCCCUGCACUGAAUAUGGAAUUAUCAAUUGCCUCAUGGUAUUCAUCACCAGUGAAAAGGCAGACUCAGCAUUGGCCAGAUGAACAGGUGAGUUCAAGCACAGAAGUAUACCCAUUGGUGAUCACGCAGCAUCUUUAAAACAAGGCCACAGGCCGGGUUGCCAGAUGGUUUCAACAAAAGUACCGGACACAUUUGACAUUACAUCACAAUCUAUAUUACAUCUUACUUAGAAAAUACCAGACAUUUAUAUUUUCUCAUUUAUAUUUUCUCAAUUCUUUUCCCGAAUAGUAAGCUCAAAUAUGGGAAUGUCCGGUUCAAAACCAGAUACCUGGCAACCGUCGGCCCAAGAGCUACCCAGUGGGUGAACUAGCCUUAUACAUACAUAGCAACUGAUCUUUCUGCCCUGCAGCAGCUUGUGCUGUUUCCUUGUCUGCCUCCUCAUACACAGUACAGGGUUGCUGUGACAUAAUUAACUAUGAGGCACAGAGGGAAGGGAAAACUGCGAACGCUAUGAGAGAACAAAAGAAAUGACAGAUAUCGUCAGUAACUCUUCGCAUUGUUUGCCUAUAUGUAAAUUUCUAUUAUCAUCAAUGGAAAUAUUUUUUCAUCAUUGUGUGUGUGGUGAAAUUGACAUUUGCUGACAUUUACCUUUACCGAUAAAAAUCUAAUCCUUCCAAGACUAAUUGUAAGUAAUGUCAGUACAAACUUUCCCAUGCUGCUCUGCUAAUGGGUUCAAUCCAGUGAUGAACAACCUCACCUCUCAUUAAAAUCAAUGUGAAUUGAGGACAUUCAAUAUUGUACAAGAAGCAAAAAUACACAAUUGACUAGACAGUCCAACCAACAGAUAGGGAGGAUAUCUCUAUGUACCUUGUAGCUUCUCCUAAAGAUUGUUUGGUUCUUGUUGAAAUAAGUGAAAAAGAAGGCUUAUCAUCUAAAAUCCUCAACAUUUACAAGACUUACAAGUUUAACAGUUUACUCAAUGCUGAGAACUUCAAAACCU
Pelodiscus sinensis (Chinese soft-shelled turtle) is the source of this 1351-nucleotide non-coding RNA. Lineage: Eukaryota; Metazoa; Chordata; Testudines; Trionychidae. The record is from RefSeq and is a predicted model, not a curated record.